Small nuclear RNA from Suricata suricatta (meerkat), 110 nucleotides. The record is from Ensembl. Lineage: Eukaryota; Metazoa; Chordata; Mammalia; Carnivora; Herpestidae.
GUGCUCGCUUCGGCAGCACAGAUACUAAAAUUGGAACGAUACAGAGAAGAUUAGCAUGGCCCCUGCGCGAGGAUGACACGCAGAUUCGUAUUUAAAAGAAAAAAAGAUCA